Molecule: long non-coding RNA, 1835 nt
Organism: Bicyclus anynana (squinting bush brown)
Lineage: Eukaryota; Metazoa; Arthropoda; Insecta; Lepidoptera; Nymphalidae
Exons: 2
Source: RefSeq, a predicted model, not a curated record
UAUCACUUCUAACUGUGUAACGCAAAGCUAAAUUGAACACUAGAGUGUUUUUGCAAUUCCGAUUAUGUAAGACAAAAGACAGCCACAAUGCCUAGUGAUAUCGUUCUAGGCGCAAAAUUUUAUCGACAUUAUGCGACUAAAUAAAAUACACCCUUUCCCGGUACUACUUACUACGGGUGCGGCAUACUUUUGCACAUAUACGCAUUAUACUUGAUUUUGCUGUUUGUCUGUGGUGAAGUGAAGUGCCAUAGUUUCUUUGUUGGUAAACAAAGCCGUAUUAAAAUAUUAAUAAAAAAAUUGGUUUCGUUGGAUCAAAGUACUUGCUACUGCUAGUUUUUUGUUUUCAAUAGAAGUAAUUAAUUAAUCAUUUUAUCGUAUACAUUUUUAUUAGUGUUAAUAGUUAAUUUAUCAAAGUAAACGGCCACUUUUACAUAAAACAUUAUCUACACGAAAGUUCUUCAAAGUUUUAUCGUCUGCCUAUGAUUAAUUUAAUGGUCGUUGUGAUAAUAUGUAAAGUAUAUUGUAUAGUGUUUUGUUUAUUAAAGUUCAUCGCUUGCAACUAAAGAUGUCCGGGAAACUCAAUGAUCGCCUUGGCUUGGAUCAAACUUGGCGAUGGGUUGUUUUGGAGGGCCUUUGGAAAGUCAGGCUACUAAAUAAACCUUCCGUGUUCGCAUCUGCCAGUGGCGUUGUAUCAACAUGAAGAUGUGGGCUCUAAACUUUGAGUGCCAGGGACUGACUAUGGAAGUCUCCAUGUCGCUGGUCACCAUUGAGGUGCAAAACACCUUGAAAAAAUUGGUGAUUCUGAAUCCUUCAUCUCUAUGAACGAUUCAUGAAGAAAGAAUUAAACAAACAUUUAAUGAACAGAUUUUUUAUAAGAUUAUUAUCAAUAAUGACAUUGCAUAUGAGAGAAAAUUGUCAAAUAUAAUUUCAUUUUAAUUUAAUAUAGUUAAUUAUGACAUCACUGUAUAUAAAGAAUAUGAUUAUUAUCAUUUGGUUAAUUUCAGUAUUACAUAGUAUUAGAUAAAAAUUUUAUUGUAAAAUUGCACAUCAAAAUAUGUUUUAUUAUCUAUUAUUAGGAGGAAAUAUUAUUUAACUAUUAUUAUUAUCCCUAAUAGCCCAGUGAAUGUGACCUCUGCCUCCAAUUCCGGAGGGUGUGGGUUCGAACCCGUUCCGGGGCACGCACCUCCAACUUUUCAGUUGUGUGCAUUUUAAGAAACUAAAUAUCACGUGUCUCAAACAGUGAAGGAAAACAUCGUGAGGAAACCUGCAUACCAGAGAAUUCUCUUAAUUCUCUGCAUAUGUGAUGUCUGCCAAUGUAAUCCAAAUAUGCUGGCCCAUAUUCGGCUCCUGUCAGAAUGAGAGGGGUUAGGCAUUGGCCUUCCCUUACCUUAUCAGCCGAUAGACGUCCACUGCUGGACAUAGGCCUCUUACAUGGACCUCCAAGCACAACGACCUUGAGCCGCGAACAUCCAACCAACCGACCAACCACGCUUUCCAGUGCGGGGUCUCCCGAGUGCGGGUAGGCACUAACCCCUCUUACUGGGGGAGACUCGAGCUCAGCAGUGAGCCGAAUAUGUGUUUAUAAUGAUGAUGAUGAUGAUGAUGAUGAUGAUGAUUUAAGUAAUUGUAAAAGAAAAAAUUGAAUACUACAUUAGUUGUUUAUCUAUACAAUUCAAUAAUUUUAAGAACAAAACAUGUACCUACCACAUUGUAGGAAAUAAAUAAAUAAUGAUUUGAUUAAAAACAAUGUUGUUUAAUGUUAAGCAGGUAGGGCCAGGUAGUUCUAUAUUUGUGUAACAUCUAUUACUUAAAAAUAAAAAAUAUAUUUACUUGUG